This 465-nucleotide ribosomal RNA is filed under the name uncultured bacterium. RNAcentral's name for it is "partial 16S ribosomal RNA". It matches the Rfam family "Bacterial small subunit ribosomal RNA", at positions 338 to 795 of the family's 1533-position model. The record is from RNAcentral.
CCUACGGGAGGCAGCAGUGGGGAAUAUUGCGCAAUGGGCGAAAGCCUGACGCAGCGACGCCGCGUGAGGGAUGAAGGUCUUCGGAUCGUAAACCUCUGUCAGCAGGGAAGAACGGUCACUGUGCUAAUCAGCAGUGAAUUGACGGUACCUGCAAAGGAAGCACCGGCUAACUCCGUGCCAGCAGCCGCGGUAAUACGGAGGGUGCGAGCGUUAAUCGGAAUUACUGGGCGUAAAGCGCUCGUAGGCGGUAUGUCAAGUCAAGGGUGAAAUCCCCGCGCUCAACGUGGGAACUGCCUUUGAAACUGGCAAACUGGAGUGUGUGAGAGGAUAGUGGAAUGCCAGGUGUAGGAGUGAAAUGCGUAGAUAUCAGGAGGAACAGCAGUGGCGAAGGCGACUAUCUGGCACAUAACUGACGCUGAGGAGCGAAAGCGUGGGUAGCAAACAGGAUUAGAUACCCGAGUAGUC